RNAcentral lists this long non-coding RNA (531 nucleotides) under Olea europaea subsp. europaea. The record is from RNAcentral. Lineage: Eukaryota; Viridiplantae; Streptophyta; Magnoliopsida; Lamiales; Oleaceae.
AUUCAUUGAAUAAAUCUGCCAUCCACUCCAUAUAUAAAUACUUAUCAGUAGUUGUUAGGCGUGAAAGGUGUGGUUUCUAGUUACACCUAAAAUGGAGCAGAAAAUUAACAAGGAAGACGGAUUCGUCGGCGGAGUACCGAUUCACAGCCAAGUUCGGAAAAUCAGGCAAGAAAUGGAGAAGAUCAAUCACCCAGCGCUCCAGCAGCCGGAGAUCAGACCGGUGGUUCAGGAGAUCCACCAGCAGAAGCGUUGCAGAUCGCCGCUAGGAUUAACACAGCGACCGGUCUCAGUCGGCAACUAAUGGAACAGUGGGAUAAAAGUAUCAAGUGGUUCUCUAUUUCCGAUUUUCUUUCUUCCAUUCUUUUCGAUUUCGUUAAGUUUUUAGUUGUACAUAAUUUGGUGUAGUAUCAAUCUGGGAAGAAGAGAACUUUUUCAAUUUUAUGAUUUCAGAAUUAAUCUUAGAACUUAGAAUUGCGUUUCAAAGACUUUAGCAAAAAGCCUCGAUCCGAAUAAUUGAUUUAUCUAACCAAG